GUUAUCGGUUUUGUUAUCAAAAAUUUAAUUGUCAUUCUUAGGUGCAGUCAUGCAGUAUGUCGCAUGUUGUUAUUUAUCUCAGAAUUGUCCCGAAAUGUAGGUUGCUUUUGGUCCUAGAAGAAAGGAGGGAUUUGGCCUUACUGACGGUGAAGGGAUUGAAAGACUUUGGUCUUACCUCAGAGGAUUUUCAUCAAUGACAAAGGAAAUGACAGCUGGUCGAAGGGUUGACGUAUUGACAGAUGCGCUUCUUCACCAUGCAAGACAUCGUCUUCUACAGUUUGGCUAGUUGAAUAUUUCUUCCUUGGUGGAAUUAUGCCACCAAUAUCAUUACAGUAUUGAUAAUAUUUUUGCGACUAUACAUUUGUAAUUCAAUGUUUGAUUUUUCCCCACAGGUCCGGUGUUACAGCGGAUAGUGUCCCCCCGCGGAUAGUGUCCCCCCGGACACUAUCCGCUAGCGGAUAGUGUCCCCUUUAAUUACUUUACCGCGGAUAGUGUCCCCCACGUGAAAGUCCAAAACAAAAGUUAAUAUUUGCUAGAAAAUAUAUUUUAUAAAAAAAAUUUGCUUAGUAAUACAUUUUAACUACACAACAACAUACUUAACUACAUAAAGGAACAAGAAUAGCAAUAAUUUAUGUAUACAUUUAACUAUGAUACAGUACUUGAAAGUCAUCCGGAUAUUUCUCAUUUCGCAGAUAAUCGUAUAUUCGCUGAUACAAUGUUGACUCGUUCUCCAUACUAAACUCCAGCAGAUCACUUUUGAAAAUAAGUGGACAACUGUUUGGCAACUGGCAACUCUUUAUACAGUUGUUUUGCGGCUUUUCUUUGUGAGUCAUACAGCCAUUGUGCCUGGGCAUUCGUGAAAUGCUUUUGUGUAAUGUUGAUUAAUUCAGCCAUUGUGCAGCUAAUGAGCGCUUUUGUUUUUCAGGAAUGCCUUGCAAGUCAUUAGUCAUGUUUAUGUCGUAUAUUAAAGUUAUGAUAUUGUGUAAUAACAUGUUUAAAUUCGAAACACUAAUAACACUAAAAUUUGAAAUACAAAUUUAGAACUUUUUCAAUCACGUAAUCGUGAUCGACCAAAGAACUAAAUCUUCUUUAGUUGUUUUUAUCGGGGGGACACUAUUCGCGAAGGGGGGCAUUAUCCGCGUCGCGGAUAGUGUCCGGGGGGACAUAAUCCGCUAGCGGAUAGUGUCCGGAGGGACAUAAUCCGCUAGCGGAUAGUGUCCGGGGGGACACUUUCUGCGGGGAACACUAUCCGCUAGGACACCGGCAUUGAUGUCUAAAAUGCAAAAAAAAAAAGAAACUAAUGGAAAACUCAGUAGUACAGUUGGAGGAGAUCUUUUCAGAUUUAAAAGUUUCCUAUGGUACUGAUGUAAUUAACUCUUGGAUGAAAGCAGAAGAGAAUAUGUUGUAAACGAGAGGAAAGAGAAAACCAUCGCCCAUGUCGUGGGAGGCUAAAUACGUACAGAACUUAGUUUUCUUGCAGGAACUGAGGUUAGACUGAUAAUGAUGCCUAGGUCCAAGGGCGCCGUGAAAAUGGCGUAGGUGUGGCGUAUACAGAACGAUCGUACACGUCGUGUCGUGUUUGGUAGAUUUCUAAUAGGUCUCACGCGGACAAAUUUCUCAAUGCAAUUGUACAUGUCAUCAUAUCAGAUCAUCUGAUAAUAUAAUGACUAAUAAUGCCACAUAUUUUUACCUUAUUAAAUGUAGUGUAUUAUAUGACUAAUGGACCAAUUGCGUAAUAGACCAACUUAUUAUCUUGGCAUUCAGGAAGAAAUAAACCACCACAGCUAAAAAGAGCAUACCAAAAUUAGUAUAAUUGCCAGGUUUGGUUGCAAAAUGUCAACUAGUACGGAAA
Molecule: long non-coding RNA, 1852 nt
Organism: Dendronephthya gigantea
Lineage: Eukaryota; Metazoa; Cnidaria; Anthozoa; Malacalcyonacea; Nephtheidae
Exons: 3
Source: RefSeq, a predicted model, not a curated record